Molecule: long non-coding RNA, 450 nt
Organism: Argentina anserina (silverweed cinquefoil)
Lineage: Eukaryota; Viridiplantae; Streptophyta; Magnoliopsida; Rosales; Rosaceae
Exons: 3
Source: RefSeq, a predicted model, not a curated record
AGAAUGCGCUGGAGCGUGGGAAAGUGAUGCACUUAGUUCAGGUGUUUGAGAAGCUGCUCAAGAUUCCGAAGCUCUGGCCCCCGAUGGUGCCAUGUUUGUUCCAGGCACGAGGAAGAUGGAGAAGCUGGAUUUUUAAACCUCGGUGAUGGCCGGCAACUUUGCUCAUAUUGUUCUUCAAUAGCGGUCAUGACACGAGAGGAACACAAGUUUAUUAUCCAAAAUGUGUUUGAAUUCUUUAGAAGCCUCAAACUUCAAGUGAAUGAAAACAUUCUCAUUCUUUUCGUCGACAACUAUCAGAUGGACAAAUUGAGAAAGGGUGGUUGCUACUUAUGUAGUCUAUCAACUUGGAAUCCAGAAAUAUCAACUUACAGUUUACCAGCUAACUUGUGGUAUAUUCUAACCAGAUGGAUUCCAUACAGGCUUUCUUAUUGCCUAAUUCAAACAGUAAGU